This 1483-nucleotide ribosomal RNA is filed under the name Firmicutes bacterium K7. Its description in RNAcentral is "bacterial SSU rRNA". It matches the Rfam family "Bacterial small subunit ribosomal RNA". Lineage: Bacteria; Bacillati; Bacillota. The record is from RNAcentral.
ACCGUGGGGGUGCUAUAAUGCAGUCGAGCGGACAGAAGGGAGCUUGCUCCCGGAUGUUAGCGGCGGACAGGUGAGUAACACGUGGGUAACCUGCCCGUAAGACUGGGAUAACUCCGGGAAACCGGAGCUAAUACCGGAUAGUUCCUUGAACCGCAUGGUUCAAGGAUGAAAGACGGUUUCGGCUGUCACUUACAGAUGGACCCGCGGCGCAUUAGCUAGUUGGUGAGGUAACGGCUCACCAAGGCGACGAUGCGUAGCCGACCUGAGAGGGUGAUCGGCCACACUGGGACUGAGACACGGCCCAUACUCCUACGGGAGGCAGCAGUAGGGAAUCUUCCGCAAUGGACGAAAGUCUGACGGAGCAACGCCGCGUGAGUGAUGAAGGUUUUCGGAUCGUAAAGCUCUGUUGUUAGGGAAGAACAAGUGCAAGAGUAACUGCUUGCACCUUGACGGUACCUAACCAGAAAGCCACGGCUAACUACGUGCCAGCAGCCGCGGUAAUACGUAGGUGGCAAGCGUUGUCCGGAAUUAUUGGGCGUAAAGGGCUCGCAGGCGGUUUCUUAAGUCUGAUGUGAAAGCCCCCGGCUCAACCGGGGAGGGUCAUUGGAAACUGGGAAACUUGAGUGCAGAAGAGGAGAGUGGAAUUCCACGUGUAGCGGUGAAAUGCGUAGAGAUGUGGAGGAACACCAGUGGCGAAGGCGACUCUCUGGUCUGUAACUGACGCUGAGGAGCGAAAGCGUGGGGAGCGAACAGGAUUAGAUACCCUGGUAGUCCACGCCGUAAACGAUGAGUGCUAAGUGUUAGGGGGUUUCCGCCCCUUAGUGCUGCAGCUAACGCAUUAAGCACUCCGCCUGGGGAGUACGGUCGCAAGACUGAAACUCAAAGGAAUUGACGGGGGCCCGCACAAGCGGUGGAGCAUGUGGUUUAAUUCGAAGCAACGCGAAGAACCUUACCAGGUCUUGACAUCCUCUGACAACCCUAGAGAUAGGGCUUUCCCUUCGGGGACAGAGUGACAGGUGGUGCAUGGUUGUCGUCAGCUCGUGUCGUGAGAUGUUGGGUUAAGUCCCGCAACGAGCGCAACCCUCGAUCUUAGUUGCCAGCAUUCAGUUGGGCACUCUAAGGUGACUGCCGGUGACAAACCGGAGGAAGGUGGGGAUGACGUCAAAUCAUCAUGCCCCUUAUGACCUGGGCUACACACGUGCUACAAUGGACAGAACAAAGGGCUGCGAGACCGCAAGGUUUAGCCAAUCCCACAAAUCUGUUCUCAGUUCGGAUCGCAGUCUGCAACUCGACUGCGUGAAGCUGGAAUCGCUAGUAAUCGCGGAUCAGCAUGCCGCGGUGAAUACGUUCCCGGGCCUUGUACACACCGCCCGUCACACCACGAGAGUUUGCAACACCCGAAGUCGGUGAGGUAACCUUUAUGGAGCCAGCCGCCGAAGGUGGGGCAGAUGAUUGGGGUGAAGUCGAAACAAGUGCCGUAAGG